RNAcentral lists this ribosomal RNA (486 nucleotides) under uncultured bacterium. RNAcentral's name for it is "partial 16S ribosomal RNA". It matches the Rfam family "Bacterial small subunit ribosomal RNA", at positions 30 to 507 of the family's 1533-position model. The record is from RNAcentral.
AUUGAACGCUGGCGGCAUGCCUUACACAUGCAAGUCGAACGGCAGCACGGGUGCUUGCAUCUGGUGGCGAGUGGCGCACGGGUGUGUAAUACAUCGGCACAUGUCCUGUUGUGGGGGAUAGCCCGGCGAAAGCCGGAUUAAUACCGCAUACGAUCCACGGAUGAAAGCGGGGGACCUUCGGGCCUCGCGCUUUAGGGUUGGCCGAUGGCUGAUUAGCUAGUUGGUGGGGUAAAGGCCUACCAAGGCGACGAUCAGUAGCUGGUCUGAGAGGACGACCAGCCACACUGGGACUGAGACACGGCCCAGACUCCUACGGGAGGCAGCAGUGGGGAAUUUUGGACAAUGGGCGAAAGCCUGAUCCAGCAAUGCCGCGUGUGUGAAGAAGGCCUUCGGGUUGUAAAGCACUUUUGUCCGGAAAGAAAUCCUUGACUCUAAUACAGUCGGGGGAUGACGGUACCGGAAGAAUAAGCACCGGCUAACUACGUG